UUGGGCACCCGCCCUGAGGCGCCCCGCACUCCCCUCACGGCGCUCCCGCCAUUUUCUCCCGAGGCUUUUGCUGAGCUUCUCCCAAAGGCGAGGGAAGCACCCGAGCCCCCUCAGGCGGGGCUGCUAAAGGAGGGCGGAAAUCACCGCCCAGAAAUCAUUGUUUGGCACCUCCAAGAAGGGUGAAAAGGUCUAUGAGGAGAAAAGGUGUCAAACUUGUUUUGACUACGGGCUGAAAAAGACGUCAUGGGAAGGUAACGCUGCUGCCAAAUCCCGCCCUCGCUCCGGCAGAAAUAGCCGCCCUUUGCCUGAGGUGCCCGGGGGGCUGAGGGGAGCCAGGCUGCCCUGCCAGAGCCGGCCCUGGGCACACCCGGGCUCCCUGGGUAACCACCGAGGCCCCAACAUGCCUGUCCGACAGUGGGGGAUGCCAGGACAUCUGCACAGAAAGACCAACGUGCCAAAAACCCACAGAGAAAAGGGCGGUGAAAGCGCCAUCUUGCUCGGCGACAUGUGGGUUGAACUAUACAGUAUCAGCCACACAACCUUUACAAUCUGCAUAGAUAAAGCAGACUAUUGUGCUGAUGUAAAAGUGGCAAAGGGAGGUUAUGAAAUGGCCCCCAAACUUUUGACUGCACUGCAGAGAUCCUCACCCCAGCAGUUGCAAUAUUAUCAGCCUCAUCCAAGGGCCCUCCCUUCAUAAUGGCAUUCCCCACAGCACAGAGAGCAGGAAAGACGUCCUUGCCCUUGAGCAGCUCCAGCAUGUAAUCCAGUAUAAUUUACAAAAAAGGAGCAAAGAUAGAAACCUGUGCAAGUAAAGGGCUCAGGGACAGCCUCUUCCUUUCUGGUGUCUGCCACGAGGGCAGCAAGCUUUGGCAGAUGGUCAGGGUGGACAGCAGGACAGCCAUGGCUUAUGAGGCUUUAGUGAGGUUUGUCAUUACCUUGAUUUAGUGAGAUGAAUCAAUGCUUGCCUGUCCAAGCCUCCAGUCAAGUAAAACAUGCCAGGCCUUGCAAAGAGCAGAGCCCAGAAUAUCACUCACCUGAAGUCAUCUCUGAGACACUUACCUGCAGGGGAAUAACAGCUGAGCACAACUGGGAUGUUUGUGUCCAACAUCCUUGUACUCUGGAGUCUUCAGAGUGGCUGAGUCAUCAUUUUGCCAGUGUUUCUCUGGUCUAAUAUGGGCAGGAAGGUGACAGAACAGCUCUCCACACCCAUGGAAACACAGCAGCUCCCACCUCCAGCCCACUGUGACAUGAGCCUGCACAAAAAAAUUUAUUGCCAGUUUCCAGAGAUUUCACAUGCCACUGGUGAAUGUCUUAAUUACUUGGAUUUAAUUACCACAGUUCUAGUUGGGUUAUGCUUGUGGCUGGCUUUCAUCCAGACUGUGCAGCUGUCCUGACUGAGGGAGCAGUUGGUCAAUAAAAGGGACUUAACUAGUUAACAGAAAAUAAAAAUACACAGCUGAGAAUGACACACCUACGA
Long non-coding RNA from Zonotrichia leucophrys gambelii, 1477 nucleotides. RefSeq lists it as uncharacterized. The record is from RefSeq and is a predicted model, not a curated record. Lineage: Eukaryota; Metazoa; Chordata; Aves; Passeriformes; Passerellidae. The transcript has 3 exons.